GGUCGUAGCUCAGUGGUAGAGCACUUGCCUCGCACGCAUGAGGCACUGGGUUCGAUCCUCAGCACCA
RNAcentral lists this transfer RNA (67 nucleotides) under Ictidomys tridecemlineatus (thirteen-lined ground squirrel). RNAcentral describes it as "Spermophilus tridecemlineatus (thirteen-lined ground squirrel) tRNA". It matches the Rfam family "tRNA". From Rfam's summary of the family: Transfer RNA (tRNA) molecules are approximately 80 nucleotides in length. Their secondary structure includes four short double-helical elements and three loops (D, anti-codon, and T loops). Lineage: Eukaryota; Metazoa; Chordata; Mammalia; Rodentia; Sciuridae. The record is from Rfam by way of RNAcentral.